Molecule: ribosomal RNA, 253 nt
Filed under: uncultured bacterium
Lineage: Bacteria
Description: partial 16S ribosomal RNA
Rfam family: Bacterial small subunit ribosomal RNA
Source: RNAcentral
UACGGAGGGUGCAAGCGUUGUUCGGAAUUACUGGGCGUAAAGGGCGUGUAGGCGGUUGACUAAGUCAGGUGUGAAAGCCCUCAGCUCAACUGAGGAAGGGCAUUUGAAACUGGGUAACUUGAGUACGGGAGAGGAGAGUGGAAUUCCAGGUGUAGAGGUGAAAUGCGUAGAUAUAAGGAGGAACAUAGGUGGCGAAGGCGGCUCUCUGGACAGAUACUGACGCUGAGGCGCGAAAGCGUGGGGAGCAAACAGG